RNAcentral lists this unclassified non-coding RNA (203 nucleotides) under Hevea brasiliensis (rubber tree). The record is from RNAcentral. Lineage: Eukaryota; Viridiplantae; Streptophyta; Magnoliopsida; Malpighiales; Euphorbiaceae.
UUAUUCUUGUUGAUUUCCAUCACCGUUCCCAAAUCUCCCUUUAAGUAACACAAGAUUUGUUCAAAGAUUGCCCUAGGUUUAACUAUUGGAGAAGAGAUCAUGGACUGAAUUACCACACUAACAGAGUAUGCAAUGUUAGGAAAAUUCAUUGUAAGAUAAUCAAUUUAUCAACCAGUCUCCUAUACUUCUCAAGGUCUUCAAAC